This 406-nucleotide ribosomal RNA is filed under the name uncultured bacterium. RNAcentral's name for it is "partial 16S ribosomal RNA". It matches the Rfam family "Bacterial small subunit ribosomal RNA", at positions 30 to 526 of the family's 1533-position model. The record is from RNAcentral.
AUUGAACGCUGGCGGCAGGCUUAACACAUGCAAGUCGAACGAGUGGCGGACGGGUGAGUAAUGAUUGGGAAUCUAGCUUAUGGAGGGGGAUAACUACGGGAAACUGUAGCUAAUACCGCGUACCAUAGGAUGAGCCCAAGUGGGAUUAGGUAGUUGGUGAGGUAAAGGCGCACAAAGCCGACGAUCGCUAGCUGGUCUGAGAGGAUGACCAGCCACAUUGGUACUGAGACACGGCCCAGACUCCUACGGGAGGCAGCAGUGGGGAAUAUUGCACAAUGGGCGCAAGCCUGAUGCAGCCAUGCCGCGUGUAUGAAGAAGGCCUUCGGGUUGUAAAGUACUUUCAGUCGGGAGGCGUUACCGACAGAAGAAGCACCGGCUAACUCCGUGCCAGUAGCCGCGGUAAUAC